GGGGCUUUAGCUCAGGGGUAAGAGCAAUUGGCUGCAGUCCAAUAGGUCACUAGUUCAAUUCUGGUAGGUCCCU
RNAcentral lists this transfer RNA (73 nucleotides) under Linderina pennispora. It matches the Rfam family "tRNA". From Rfam's summary of the family: Transfer RNA (tRNA) molecules are approximately 80 nucleotides in length. Their secondary structure includes four short double-helical elements and three loops (D, anti-codon, and T loops). Lineage: Eukaryota; Fungi; Kickxellomycota; Kickxellomycetes; Kickxellales; Kickxellaceae. The record is from Rfam by way of RNAcentral.